GACUGCCCCUCAAAAUGUAACCCCUCACCAAGAGAAUCUUGUCUGAGAAGUUUCUGCAGAAACUUCUCUCAGAUUUGAAAAAAGAAUGGAUUGCAAAUCACUUUUGGGAUGCGGUUUAGUGAAGAAAGUGAGGAAUUGGCUAACAACAUCUUUGUCAAAUCUACGCAGUUGUGGACAAGAUUCCUUCUGAUAAUCCUGCUACUCAGACUAUUGAACAGUCUCCUGAAGGAGCUGAAAUUUAUAAAUUAUUCAUUGGCGCUUGAUAGAAAACUCAGAGACGGUCCAUUGGAGAGCAAAAGACAAUCACAGUUCAGCUGCUUCAUGUGCUUACAGAAAAGGUGCAUUUUACAUCAACCAACAAAACGCCUACUGAAGAAAGGCUGAAUUCAUGCUGUCAUAGGAAUGAAGAUCUACCAUAUCUUAUUUAAACCAUAAAUUUUGUGUGGGAUUAGGCGAACACCAAAGUGAAGAAUAAAUGAACUAUACCAUAAGUUCCACAUUAUCAAAGACUUAUUUAUCAUUGGAAGGUAUUCAAAUGUCACUUUGCAACCACUCAUUGUUUCAAGAAUACCUUUGCUAGAGAUUUCAGCCUCUCCUUGCACAACUUUUAGGUCAGGGAAUAAUUCAUUCUCUCCUGGGCUAGCCAAUGCUAUCUUUAAGUGAUUUUAUUAAAAUAUUUUGUCAUUAUCUGUUACCUUGAAAUUUCUGUUCACAAUGUAAUUGUUAUUUCCUAUAACUACACAUUUAUUAAUUUUGUCCACAUGAAAAGCUUUCCAAUGGAAUAAGGCUUAUAACUUCUUGUCUAUCAAGGCUAAGUGCCAUUGCUUUUCAAUUGUUUCUCUAUGUGAUGACAGGAAACCGCACUAUUAUUGUUUUGCUG
This 880-nucleotide long non-coding RNA is filed under the name Callithrix jacchus (white-tufted-ear marmoset). RNAcentral's name for it is "lncRNA (ENSCJAG00000059118.2)". The record is from RNAcentral. Lineage: Eukaryota; Metazoa; Chordata; Mammalia; Primates; Cebidae.